GAUGAACGCUGGCGGCGUGCCUAAUACAUGCAAGUCGAGCGAACAGACGAGGAGCUUGCUCCUCUGACGUUAGCGGCGGACGGGUGAGUAACACGUGGAUAACCUACCUAUAAGACUGGGAUAACUUCGGGAAACCGGAGCUAAUACCGGAUAAUAUAUUGAACCGCAUGGUUCAAUAGUGAAAGACGGUUUUGCUUUCACUUAUAGAUGGAUCCGCGCCGCAUUAGCUAGUUGGUAAGGUAACGGCUUACCAAGGCAACGAUGCGUAGCCGACCUGAGAGGGUGAUCGGCCACACUGGAACUGAGACACGGUCCAGACUCCUACGGGAGGCAGCAGUAGGGAAUCUUCCGCAAUGGGCGAAAGCCUGACGGAGCAAAGCCGCGUGAGUGAUGAAGGUCUUCGGAUCGUAAAACUCUGUUAUUAGGGAAGAACAAAUGUGUAAGUAACUAUGCACGUCUUGACGGUACCUAAUCAGAAAGCCACGGCUAACUACGUG
RNAcentral lists this ribosomal RNA (497 nucleotides) under uncultured bacterium. Its description in RNAcentral is "partial 16S ribosomal RNA". It matches the Rfam family "Bacterial small subunit ribosomal RNA", at positions 28 to 507 of the family's 1533-position model. The record is from RNAcentral.